GUGGGGAAUAUUGCACAAUGGGGGAAACCCUGAUGCAGCGACGCCGCGUGAAGGUAGAAGUAUCUCGGUAUGUAAACUUCUAUCAGCAGGGAAGACAAUGACGGUACCUGACUAAGAAUCCCAGGCUAACUACGUGCCAGCAGCCGCGAUAAGACGUAGGGGGCAAGCGUUAUCCGGAUUUACUGGGUGUAAAGGGAGCGUAGACGGAAGAGCAAGUCUGAUGUGAAAGGCAGGGGCCCAACCCCUGGACUGCAUUGGAAACUGCCCAUCUUGAGUGCCUGAGGGGUAAGCGGAAUUCCUAGUGUAGCGGUGAAAUGCGUAGAUAUUAGGAGGAACACCAGUGGCGAAGGCGGCUUACUGGACGGUAACUGACGUUGAGGCUCGAAAGCGUGGGGAGCAAACAGG
This 405-nucleotide ribosomal RNA is filed under the name uncultured bacterium. Its description in RNAcentral is "bacterial SSU rRNA". It matches the Rfam family "Bacterial small subunit ribosomal RNA", at positions 354 to 776 of the family's 1533-position model. The record is from RNAcentral.